Long non-coding RNA from Loxodonta africana (African savanna elephant), 7826 nucleotides. RefSeq lists it as uncharacterized. The transcript is spliced from 2 exons. The record is from RefSeq and is a predicted model, not a curated record. NCBI's taxonomy places the organism in Eukaryota, Metazoa, Chordata, Mammalia, Proboscidea, Elephantidae.
CCGUAAAUCCAGGCCACUAUCCACAAACUCUAAAUCUUCAAUUCCUUAAAAUGAUUUCCUCAAAGGUUACAAUACCAAAGUGGACCAAAUUGGGGGGGAGGGGCCUGGGAUCACUUUUAAUUCCGCUGGUUCAUCCCCGUCGCAAUUAAUCCUUCUAUAAUGUACCCCUUGGACUCAAACUUCAAGUGGUGUUUUAUAAACUUGCAGUAAGUUAUAAUAGUAUGAUUAUUUACUUAUGAUGUAUUUGAAGGUUCUCCUUUAAUAUACUUCAAUUUCAGGACCAUGAGGCAGGGUUUGGAAAAAUUCGCAACAUUUCAGUGCUGCAUUUCAUUUGCUCUGGUCACAUUUUUAUUUUCAAUCCCCAUAAAACUGUUCCUCUAAAUUUAACUAGCCGCUACAUUUUCAACUACCAUAUUUUCAAGAAUGAAUGAGGCAUAUAUUCAUUUCGAACGUCGGGCUCUCGUGACAAGUGAUAGGAACACAGUAUUUAAUCCUGGUGUCCUUUUUAAAACGUUAUUUCUUUGAAUUCCCGUGGCUCCGACUCUCCGUCUAGGCAAGUUUUUCCAGGCGAUUAAAACAAAACCUGCACGUGCAAAACUAAAAAGUUAGUAUUUUAAGGCCGUGGCGGCAAAUCCCUAAUGCACAAAGGCAAAGACACCCCUGGCGUCCGGACUAGUGCGGGGCAAGAUCACAUUCCACCUACCCUAGCCCCUACGUCGGAAAGCCCCGGGCCCGAGCCCCCCGGGAAGUCAGGACCAGCGUGCAGGGCCCGCCCCGGGGCCGAGUUUUCAAUGGAAGCCGAGAGGAUGGGGGCGGGAAGGAGCGGAAGCUCCGGGUGCAAACGGCGGCGACCGACCUGCGGUUUAUUUCUCUUCCCGGGGUUUUCAGACUGGGCACAGUCUGUCCCAGCAGGGACAGAACGCCAGCGGGGUGCCUGAGGCGGGUAGGAAGGCGACGCCGCAGGCCCCGGCCGACAGGGACGGAGGCCGCGCAGGCAGGGCUCAGACCCCGGCCCCUGAAAGCACUUUCGAUGUGUCUCCCACCCCCCACGACAAGAUGGCGACGUGGACAGCGGGGGAGCCGACCGGCGAGGUUACCCAACCACGGGCCACGUCACCGCACUCUGCCUUGGAACCUAAUGGAACUCUCGUCUUCCACUGUUUCUGCAGUGGAGUUUGAUUACUAAGUAAAUGCAAAUAAAAAUUUAAAACAAAUCCUUCUUAUUGUAAACUUCUCAAGGGAAGGAGUUAGCGUUGCGAGAAAUCUUAACAUCUGAAAUUAUUCAAAGCAUUUACAAAUAGGUGUAAGUAGUCUUAAUAAAUGAGACGUAAAUCUGAGCUUCAGGGAAGGAAUCAGAAAAAAGGUUUUAGACAGACUUUUGUUCUGGUUUCUUGCCUCAUUAAAAGUGGAAGACAAUCUUUAGAUUGAGACUUACCGCCUUGAGUUGACUGCCCUGUGGACUAGACAGACAGAGACAGAAGGACUCGCCAAACCCUCACCUAGGGCGGGAGGCCACGGAACCCGAGUUAACUCCGUAGGGUGAGAUCAGUAUUGCUUCAUUACUAACGUGAUCUUGACAGCCACUGAUUAAGAAUCAGUUUUUGACUUUGAAAGCGUAAGUUUAACUUUGUCAGUCUUUUAAGGUAAAAAAGAAUAUAUUUUGAACUCAGCAAAUAAGCAUUACAUACAUAUUUCCACUUGACACUAGAUUUUACUUCUCACCUUUGUCAUAUCAGCAUAUUGUUACAAUCUAGCUUUGGGUUAUAUAUUAAUUAAUGUGGAUAUCUGUGGCGGAUUUCAAUUACGUUGGUUCAUAAAAACAAUGGUCUAUAUAAGAUAGCAUUAAACCGUUUUUAACUGGUCAGUAGAUUUUUUUAAAUUAGAGCCAUAAAGAUAAGGUUAAAGAUUGAUCUCAAAUAUCACUUUUGUUUUUCAGAUCUACAAAGCCUAAUGAUACGUAUUCUAGAAAAGAACCACGGAAAAUGCCUGGAAUGAGGAAAGGACUGAAAAUAAUUAUUCAUUUUUUAAAUUGUGGAAUGACUAACUCUGGAUGUUAUAAAACCUUUUAGUUUAAUAUUCCACAAAAGUAGUGUUAAGAACACUGGCUCCAGUGUUAAGAGUGGGCUUGAAUAUCUGACUUAACUAGGGAGUCAUUUCACCUUUCUUGCUCAGUUUACUCAUCUGUAAAAUAGGGAUAAGUGUCUGUGCCAUGGAGCCCUGGUGGCACAGCGGUUAAGCAUUCGGCUUCUGACCAAAAGGUCGGCAGUUUGAAUCCACCAGCCACUCCUUGGAAACCCUAUGGGGCAGUUCUACUUUGUCCUAUAGGAUCACCUGAGUUGCAGUCGACCUGAUGACAAUGAGUUUUCGGUCUGUGCCAUAGAAUUAUGGGACGAUUAAAUGAGAACAUAGGUGUAAAGCACUUAGAACAGUACCUGGCACUUAGUAAGCAAUUGAUAAAUGCUAGCUGUUAGUAUUGUUGUUGGUUUUGUUUUCAUUAUUAUUACCCCCAAAUUUGUGCCUCUGCUAUCCAAGCAUGUCAAUUAGGUUCAUAUAAAUUCACAUAUAUCUUCUCUAUUUCCAAUCUGCAACUGCCCAUGGUGUUCCCAUCCUUGUAUAUGACCAUGGCUAUAGAAAUCUUCAGUCAUUUUCUUUCUCAUUAUUCUUAUAAGCUGUUCUCUCUGGCCAGCAAUUAAAGCUGUAGUGUAUAAUGUCUGUGACAUCAGAAGUUGAGUAUUUUGUAAGAGCAAAUCUAAGUCAUUAAAAAUUUUUUAAUCAUUUUAAAAGAUUAAAUAAGAUCAUCAUUCAAUCACCAAAAGAUGUUUUAACAUAUUCCCCAAAGUUCAAUUUUCCUUUCCAAAAUGUAUAAACUAUAUUUUAUGUGUGAAUGUUUAUGUAUGUAUGUAUAUACAAACAUGAACAUGGAAAGCAGUAGCAUACACACACAUAUAGGAACAUGGAAAACAUUAAUAUUCAACCAACUAGCUUUCAUGUAAUUACAGAGGACCCUAACUGUAUCCCUAAUUCAAUCAAUCCUGUUAAAUAACAGAAUUCCAAAAAGCAAAAUUUGCUGUGGGAUAAAAUUUUAAAUCACUCCCUUUACAGCCACCUAUUAAUAAAUGUAUAGGUUAUUACUAUAAGUAUGUUUAAUCACUUUUUGAUCUUUUUAAGUGUCCAAGGUUCAUUUCAAGUCACUUCGCAGAACUUUUAAAGUGACUACAAGGUUACUUGCAAAUGAUUUAACCUGCAUUUAGUAGAAAGUUGGGCAGAGAUUGAGAAGCAAACGAGGUGAAACUUGAAAUUUAUAUUAACCAGUUGUCGUGGAGUGACUCCUACUCAUGACAACCCCAGGUGUGUCAGAGUAGAACUGUGCUCCGUAGUGUUUUCAGUGGCUGAUUUUUCAAAUGUAGAUCACCCAGCCUUUUCUUUAGAGGCGUCUCUGAGUGUACUCAAACCUGGACCAACCUUUCAGUUAGCAGUGGAGUAAUUAUCCUUGUGCACCCCCAGGGGCUCCGGAAUUUAUAUUACUACUAAGUAAUAUAGAACAUCUAGUCUUUUGAAAAGUGAAACAUCAGAUUCAGGUAAUUUGAAGUGUAUCAAACUAUAUAAGAAGAUUUAGUGGCUAAUGUGAUUCUUGGCUUACUAUUACCCUUAGGUGGUGGUGGGUUCCCCCUCACCCUUUUAUGUAUUCUCUGGCAACAACAACAAAAAAGGGUACAAUUUGGAAGAAAAGUGCUUAGAAGAUAAAACCAAAAAAUCUGUUGCCAUCUAGUCGAUUCAGACUCACAGUGACCCUAAAGGACAGAGUAGAACUGCCCCCAUAGGGUUUCCAAGGAGCGCCUGGUGGUUUCAAACUGCCAACCUUUUGGUUAGCAGCUGUAGCUCUUGACCACUGUGCUGCCACUAGGGAUCCGCUUAGAAGAUAGCAGGCAUUGCAAAUCUUUUAUUUAUUUAUUUUUUGUUUCAAGGAUCAAAACAAAAUAAAUAUGUAUUUCGCCUGAGUUUAUGAAGAAUAUGAUAGACGACUGAAAAUUUAACAUUAGCACAUUUCAAUUAUGAUCAACAUUUUUAGUACAAUUAAAAAAAAAUGAAUACCCUUCUGAAGUCAAGUUUUUGUAUCUUGCCAUAACUACAUAUGUGCAUGGUUAUGGAUGUUAUAGCAUACAUAUUAUGUUAUGGAAAUGCUAUGCUAUCCAUAUGUGGAUAUGUUAAGGAUGUAGUUAAAAAAUUCAAAUACUGCAAAUGAACAAAUACAGAAAACUAAGUCUCCCUGAUCUCCCUUGCCUCUUCCUCCUCUUUGAAGGUACCCACUGCUACAAAUUGUUUAUAUAUCUAACCAGAGAUAUCUUAUUAGUAUGCCAAAAGACCUAUGUGUCCUAUCAUUUUUGCACAAAUGAUAGAAUAGUAUACGCUUUGUUUACGCACCGAAUUUGUUUCGUGCAAAAAAUUAUCAGGUCAUAUAUAUCUGAUAUUUAAGAUAAUUUAUAAUAAAAUAAACAGGUGUAUAAUGAAGUAGAAUGCAAAACUGCACUAAUUUUAAAAUAAAAUUAAUAUUAACAUUAAUAUUUAUGAGCAAGGAUCUUUUCAAUUUUAUUGCAAAUAUAUUUAGGUUUCUCUAGGCAGGUUAGAAAAGAGAAGUUUAGCAGCUGGAAACUUGAGAAAGACAAAGUUUCAGACGUUGCUUUGGGUAAACCCCACAUGUCAAUGUCCUUAUCUGUUGUGAAAGCUAUCAACCAAAGAAAUUACAAAUAGAGAAAAUUGCUUUCUACCUAUAUCCACUCUUCUAAUCAGUUAAAAACAUGAUUUUUAUUCUCCUUGUCCUGACUAUUUGUAGAUGACUACUCUAAUUUUGCAUAUCCCACAUCAUUUUUCGGCUGCACAAACAGAACACUACAUCUGUUCAUUGUAAAUAAAUGACUAACAAUUUCAAAAUUUAGUUCAAACCAGGUUAGAUUUACUUGAUUUUUAUGAAAUUAAAGAGUGAAAAGUACACUAUAAAUUCAUGAAUUCUAUAGUAGGAGUUUUAAGAAUUCACCCACUAGAUUUUGAGCACGUUAUGAUUGUGAUAUGAAUUAAUAUAAUUAUUCUUUAUUGGGGGCCAAAAUUCAGAUUUGAUCACAUAUCCCUAGAGGAGACACAUCUUCAAGUUUUAUAUACAGCCUGCUGAAGUUCUGCCAAAACACUGUCGAACAAUAAGCCCUUGCUAGAUGUUGAACCUUCCAGGACAAUUUCUGUGCAUCUCCAUUCAACUUUGUUUCAAUGUUACAAAGAAAAUUUUAUUUUCAAAUAAUAAUACAGGCAGUCAGGUGAUGGAGGAUAGGCAAGAGAAUCUUAAAAUAAUUCUUAAGACAGAAGCGCUUACUUUUAUAAGCUGUGUGAUAUAAUCAUUCUCUCCAAAAUAACUGGUUUCUUUCAGGAAGAGAAUACUACCAGAACAUUAAAAAUUGAAUGAACAUGGCACUUACAGGGCAUUUUUCCUUUAGAUGUUAAUUACUACUACAAAUUGUGUUUUUUUUAUCUUUGCAUUUAAAAGCAACCAUUUUUUAAAUGAAAAACUGUAAUAAAAAUUAAAGCAAAAAUGAAAGAAGGAUCUUACAUGGCCUAAAAUUUAUCCUAGCUUGGUUUUUUCUUUUUUUUCCAUGUACACCAAGCCUCUGGCAACUCAUAUUUUCCAAAUUUUGGGUGGAUAAUGUUUUCUCUUUGAUUUUUUGUGAGUAACACAGAAACACUAGCUGUUUGGCUCUUAUAUUGGAAAACUUAUAAAGUUUCCUUGGUUAAGUGUGUCAGAACUUGCCUGUGAAGAACCAGAGGCACUCACAAGAACUUGAUUAAUUUUAUACCAGGACUUGCAAAGACAGGUUAGCUAUUCUCCUGUGUACAUUUAAAUUAAAUUACAUGGCUAAGGUCAGCAGCAGCAUGGGGAAAAAAUGUGGCAGUCUGCUUCCGCAAAGAUUCCAAACCAAACCCCUUUGCUGGUGGAGUCAAUUUCGACUCAUAGUGACACUAUAGCCUUGGAAACCCUAUGGGGUGUUUUAAUGUAUUCUGUAGGGUUGCUAUGAGUUGGAAUUGACUUGAUGGCAAUGGGUUUGAAUUUUUGUUACCAAAUAAGAGCCCUAGUGGUGCCGUGGUUAAGAGCAACAGCGGCAAACCAAUAAGUUGGUGGCUUGAAUUCACCAGCUGCUCCUUGGGAACCCUGUGAAGCAGUUCUACUCUAUCCUACAGGGUCACUAUGAGUUGGAAUCGACUGCACAGCAACGGGUUUUUUUGAAGUAAGUCAAAGAUUCACUCAACUAUCUUACUAUCAAGAAUCAUGAUACUAAGCAUGUACUAUAAAGUCACUGGAGCCCUGGUGGCACAGUUGUUAAGAGCUUGGCUGCUAACCAGAAGAUUGGCAGUUCAAAUCCACCAGCCACUCCUUGGAAACCCUGUGGGUCAGUUCUACUCUGUCCUGUAGGGUCACUGUGAAUCAGAAUCUACUUGAUGGCAAUGGUUUGAUUCUGUUUUUGACAGGGUUGCUAUGAGUUGGAAUGGACUCGACGGGCAACGGGUUUGGUUUUUUGGUUUAUGUGCCAAGGUUUGUCGUGGAACUUGGGAAUUGCAGAUGUUCUCAACCAACACUUUCUAGUCCUGACUACAUCUCCCUCCCUUACUUUCUGUCCACUCUUCUAGGAUUGCAAGGACAAAAGGAAGGCCAUCCAGAGAGUUGUUAAAAGUUUUUGUAUUUAGAUAGAUAAGCACCUGGACUUGUGAACUGUCACCUCUGUACCUCCUACAUGGCCAGGCAGAAAGAACACUUCUGCUCCUUGCUCCUUGGGCACUCUGCAAGCUGUAUUCCAGAUCCCGUUAGCAGGAUCUAUGGCAACUAGAAUCAGGGACAAGAGUUUGCCUCAAGGUCUUAUUACUACUGGCACUUCAUUGAUGCUUUCUGUUGCAUCAAGACAAAUCCUAGAGCUUGACUGUCCUAGAACUUGUGAUAAGAAAUAGCUGAGAAGAUUAUGUGAUGGGGAAAUAGUAGUCCAUCUUAAAACAGUAUCAUAUUGAUGUGGCAGCGAAUGCAUGGAUAUGCAUACAUACAUACAUAUAUAUAUAUAUAUGAAACCCUGGUGGCAUAGUGUUUAAGUGUUACAGCUGCAAACCUGAGGGUCGGUCAUUGGAGUCCACCAGGCACUCCUUGGAAACUCUAUAGGGCAGUUCUACUCUGUCCUAUAGGGUCACUAUGAGUCGGAAUCGACUCGAUGGCACUAGGUUUGGUUUUGGUAUAUAUAUAUAUAAGAUGCUGUCAAGUCAAUUCCUACUCAUAGGGACUCUAUGGGACAGAUUAGACCUGCCCCAUAGGGUUCCCAAGGAGCAGCUGGUGGAUUCAAACUGUUGACCUUUUGGUUAGCAACCGUAACACUUAACCACUACGCCACCAAGGUUUCCAUAUAUAUGUAUUUUUUUCCCCAAACACGUUGAACACACACAAAAUGGGUUAGAUAUUCUAUUAUAUGUAAAUUAUACCUCAAUAAAAUUGAUUAAAAAAUGACACUGUCAUAAAGAGGCUGGCCACAUGGCUAAUAACCUGAUCACUCUACCAUUCUUCUAAUUUCUGGCCCUUCCCUUGGUCUGAUCCCCACAGACUACAUUUCAAUUAUCAAUUAGUUGAUCACCUCGAUUUUAUUUACACCCUAGCUUUUGGUUGUUCAUCUUGGCUCUGUUCAUUGGCUCCUGAAUCUCAGGUUCAUUUUUCGGGGCUUUACGCACUCUGUUCCCACAGCUCCGACCAGAGGAAAUACAGCAGCUGGUUGCCAGCUGGCAUGAAGGAGGAUAAAAAAAAAAAAAAAACAGAA